This 497-nucleotide ribosomal RNA is filed under the name uncultured bacterium. Its description in RNAcentral is "partial 16S ribosomal RNA". It matches the Rfam family "Bacterial small subunit ribosomal RNA", at positions 28 to 507 of the family's 1533-position model. The record is from RNAcentral.
GAUGAACGCUGGCGGCGUGCCUAAUACAUGCAAGUCGAGCGAACAGACGAGGAGCUUGCUCCUCUGACGUUAGCGGCGGACGGGUGAGUAACACGUGGAUAACCUACCUAUAAGACUGGGAUAACUUCGGGAAACCGGAGCUAAUACCGGAUAAUAUAUUGAACCGCAUGGUUCAAUAGUGAAAGACGGUUUUGCUGUCACUUAUAGAUGGAUCCGCGCCGCAUUAGCUAGUUGGUAAGGUAACGGCUUACCAAGGCAACGAUGCGUAGCCGACCUGAGAGGGUGAUCGGACACCCUGGAACUGAGACACGGUCCAGACUCCUGCGGGAGGCAGCAGUAGGGAAUCUUCCGCAAUGGGCGAAAGCUUGACGGAGCAACGCCGCGUGAGUGAUGAAGGUCUUCGGAUCGUAAAACUCUGUUAUUAGGGAAGAACAAAUGUGUAAGUAACUAUGCACGUCUUGACGGUACCUAAUCAGAAAGCCACGGCUAACUACGUG